AUGGCGGAUGAUGCCGGUGCAGCAGGAGGGCCUGGAGGCCCCGGGGGCCCAGGCAUUGGAGGCCACGGCGGCUUCCGUGGAGGCUUUGGCAGUGGCCUCUGGGGCCGCGGUAGCGGUUGUGGUCGGGGCCACGGGGCUCGUGGAGGCAAGGCUGAAGAUAAGGAGUGGAUCCCUGUCACCAAGCUGGGCCGCCUGGUCAAGGACAUGAAGAUCAAGUCUUUGGAGGAGAUCUAUCUUUUCUCCCUGCCCAUCAAGGAGUCUGAGAUUAUUGACUUUUUCCUGGGGGCAUCCCUCAAGGAUGAGGUCUUGAGGAUCAUGCCUGUGCAGCAGCAGACUCGGGCUGGCCAAUGCACCAGGUUUAAGGCAUUUGUAGCCAUUGGGGACUACAAUGGUCAUGUCGGGCUGGGUGUUAAGUGUUCCAAGGAGGUAGCCACUGCCAUCCGAGGUGCCAUAAUCUUGGCCAAACUCUCCAUUGUCCCUGUGCGGAGAGGCUACUGGGGGAACAAGAUUGGCAAGCCUCACACUGUCCCAUGCAAGGUGACAGGCCGCUGUGGUUCUGUGCUGGUCGCAUCUCAUCCCUGCCCCCAGGGGCACUGGCAUAGUGUCGGCUCCUGUGCCCAAGAACCUACUGAUGAUGGCUGGUAUUGAUGACUGCUACACUUCAGCCAAGGGCUGCACUGCCACCCUAGGCAACUUUGCUAAGGCCACCUUUGAUGCCAUCUCCAAGACCUACAGCUACUUGACCCCCGACCUCUGGAAAGAGACCGUGUUCUCCAAGUCUCCCUAUCAGGAAUUCACUGACCAUCUUGUGAAAACCCACACCAGAGUGUCUGUGCAGAGGACCCAGGCUCCAGCUGUGGCUACAACAUAGGAUUUUUUUAAAAAUAUAAAAAUAAUAAAGUGAAUUAACCCUGUUUUAAAAAAAAAAAAAAGCCGUGGCAGGUGGCACUUCCAGGAUAUUGCGCCAGGCUGCUGGUCCCACACCACUCAGGAGUGGCCUCAGCAGUUCUCUGGGUCUCGUCUGCCUGUUUGCCCCAGCGGAUGGCU
This is a non-coding RNA of Castor canadensis (American beaver), 1047 nucleotides long. Lineage: Eukaryota; Metazoa; Chordata; Mammalia; Rodentia; Castoridae. The record is from RefSeq and is a predicted model, not a curated record.